CAGACGGGUGAGUAACGCGUAAAGAACUUGCCCUUUAUACUGGGAUAACAGAGGGAAACUUCUGAUAAUACUGGAUAAGUUAGUAUAUCGCAUGAUAUGCAAAUGAAAGCUACGGCACUAAAGGAGAGCUUUGCGUCCUAUUAGCUAGUUGGUAAGGUAAGAGCUUACCAAGGCGAUGAUAGGUAGCCGGCCUGAGAGGGUGGACGGCCACAAGGGGACUGAGAUACGGCCCUUACUCCUACGGGAGGCAGCAGUG
Molecule: ribosomal RNA, 256 nt
Filed under: uncultured Leptotrichia sp.
Lineage: Bacteria; Fusobacteriati; Fusobacteriota; Fusobacteriia; Fusobacteriales; Leptotrichiaceae
Description: partial 16S ribosomal RNA
Rfam family: Bacterial small subunit ribosomal RNA
Source: RNAcentral